RNAcentral lists this ribosomal RNA (119 nucleotides) under Aegilops tauschii subsp. strangulata. Lineage: Eukaryota; Viridiplantae; Streptophyta; Magnoliopsida; Poales; Poaceae. The record is from RNAcentral.
GGAUGCGAUCAUACCAGCACUAAAGCACCGGAUCCCAUCAGAACUCUGUAGUUAAGCGUGCUUGGGCGAGAGUAGUACUAGGAUGGGUGACCUACUAGGAAGUCCUAGUGUUGCAUUCC